GCGCAGCAGUCGCGAAAACUCUGCAAUACGCGAAAGCGUGACAGGGCUACCCCGAGUGUCGUCCGCUGAGGACGACUUUUCCACGCUAUACGGAGGCGUGGGAAUAAGGAGAGGGCAAGUCUGGUGUCAGCCGCCGCGGUAAUACCAGCUCUCCGAGUGGUAGGGACGUUUAUUGGGCUUCAAGCGUCCGUAGCCGGCUCAACAAGUCUCCCGUUAAAUCCAACGAUUCAAUCGUUGGACCGCGGGAGAUACUGCUGGGCUAGGAAGCGAGAGAGGCCGACGGUAUUCACGGAGUAGCGGUGAAAUCUUAUAAUUCCGGGAGGACCACCAGUGGCGAAGGCUGUCGGCUAGAACGCGCUCGACGGUGAGGGACGAAAGCUGGGGGAGCGAACCGGAUUAGAUACCCGGGUAGUCC
RNAcentral lists this ribosomal RNA (415 nucleotides) under uncultured crenarchaeote. RNAcentral's name for it is "partial 16S ribosomal RNA". It matches the Rfam family "Archaeal small subunit ribosomal RNA", at positions 330 to 747 of the family's 1478-position model. The record is from RNAcentral. Lineage: Archaea; Thermoproteati; Thermoproteota.